GAUGAACGCUGGCGGCGUGCCUAAUACAUGCAAGUAGAACGCUGAAGGAAGGAGCUUGCUCUUUCCGGAUGAGUUGCGAACGGGUGAGUAACGCGUAGGUAACCUGCCUGGUAGCGGGGGAUAACUAUUGGAAACGAUAGCUAAUACCGCAUAACAGUAGAUGUUGCAUGAUAUCUACUUAAAAGGUGCAAUUGCACCACUACCAGAUGGACCUGCGUUGUAUUAGCUAGUUGGUGAGGUAACGGCUCACCAAGGCGACGAUACAUAGCCGACCUGAGAGGGUGAUCGGCCACACUGGGACUGAGACACGGCCCAGACUCCUACGGGAGGCAGCAGUAGGGAAUCUUCGGCAAUGGACGGAAGUCUGACCGAGCAACGCGGCGUGAGUGAAGAAGGUUUUCGGAUCGUAAAGCUCUGUUGUAAGAGAAGAACGAGUGUGAGAGUGGAAAGUUCACACUGUGACGGUAUCUUACCAGAAAGGGACGGCUAACUACGUG
This 497-nucleotide ribosomal RNA is filed under the name uncultured bacterium. Its description in RNAcentral is "partial 16S ribosomal RNA". It matches the Rfam family "Bacterial small subunit ribosomal RNA", at positions 28 to 507 of the family's 1533-position model. The record is from RNAcentral.